GCAGGCCUAACACAUGCAAGUCGAACGGUAACAGGAAACAGCUUGCUGUUUCGCUGACGAGUGGCGGACGGGUGAGUAAUGUCUGGGAAACUGCCUGAUGGAGGGGGAUAACUACUGGAAACGGUAGCUAAUACCGCAUAACGUCGCAAGACCAAAGAGGGGGACCUUCGGGCCUCUUGCCAUCGGAUGUGCCCAGAUGGGAUUAGCUAGUAGGUGGGGUAACGGCUCACCUAGGCGACGAUCCCUAGCUGGUCUGAGAGGAUGACCAGCCACACUGGAACUGAGACACGGUCCAGACUCCUACGGGAGGCAGCAGUGGGGAAUAUUGCACAAUGGGCGCAAGCCUGAUGCAGCCAUGCCGCGUGUAUGAAGAAGGCCUUCGGGUUGUAAAGUACUUUCAGCGGGGAGGAA
This 411-nucleotide ribosomal RNA is filed under the name Escherichia coli. Its description in RNAcentral is "bacterial SSU rRNA". It matches the Rfam family "Bacterial small subunit ribosomal RNA", at positions 42 to 449 of the family's 1533-position model. Lineage: Bacteria; Pseudomonadati; Pseudomonadota; Gammaproteobacteria; Enterobacterales; Enterobacteriaceae. The record is from RNAcentral.